Ornithodoros turicata is the source of this 224-nucleotide long non-coding RNA. RefSeq lists it as uncharacterized. The record is from RefSeq and is a predicted model, not a curated record. The transcript is spliced from 3 exons. Lineage: Eukaryota; Metazoa; Arthropoda; Arachnida; Ixodida; Argasidae.
ACGUCGUGAGCUGGUACCGCAAGACGAUUAUUAGCGGCCGUUUCUGUGGACUGUAUGAGCUAGUGAUAGUACCUCAUUCUGGACUCUCCAAGAAGCGGCGCAUUGGGAGCAGCUCCGCUUCUACGCUGUUUGAUAAACAAGGAUGGAACACAGUUACGGAUGGACCUACACGGCUGCCAGCACUGGUGGGCCCUAAAGCUGUCGCUAAGGACAAAACUAAGAAG